This is a long non-coding RNA of Eublepharis macularius, 245 nucleotides long. RefSeq lists it as uncharacterized. The record is from RefSeq and is a predicted model, not a curated record. Lineage: Eukaryota; Metazoa; Chordata; Lepidosauria; Squamata; Eublepharidae. The transcript has 3 exons.
AGAGAAUUGAUUGAAGAUACGUUAACUGCAAAAAGGUUGGUGAUUGCUGCCAAUUGAAGAAAUGCUAAAUGCUUGAAUAUCAAAACAGUUUUCAGAAGCAGUUGACCUAAUCCACAAAUGAGUUAUUGCAGAGUAGUUUGAUUUUGUCCUGAGUAGUCCUGCGGAAGCCAUUGAGACCAUCCUAACCCAAAACAUUCUAUGACUCUCAUCGAUAUUCUAUGAUCCUGGAAGAUAAUCUCAUCAGG